This is an RNA transcript of Myotis davidii, 555 nucleotides long. It is a transcript of the gene named tetratricopeptide repeat protein 1 pseudogene, with no coding region annotated. The record is from RefSeq and is a predicted model, not a curated record. The transcript has 2 exons. NCBI's taxonomy places the organism in Eukaryota, Metazoa, Chordata, Mammalia, Chiroptera, Vespertilionidae.
AUGCCUGUCGAACCUGCUUCACCUCCCUCACUGGUUCAGCAUGGGGGAGAAGUCAGAGAAAACUGUAGGGUUCCAGAGGACCUGUUCAGUGGUUUGCAAGUUUCAGAUCCCCAGGAAGCACAAUGUGCUGGUCCUUCAGUUUCUAAUCCCAAAGAUCACCAGCCCCAGAACAAGCUCCCCGAGGAUGUUGAGGCCCACCCCCAGGAGGACCAGGGCGAAGAGGAACUUUCACGAGACUACAGUGCCUCAUUUGAGAAGGAGGAACCAGGAGUGGACAAGGUUGAGAACAAACCUGACGAUGAUGUGAAUUCCUCCGAACUCGACGAAGAAUACCUAAUAGAACUGGAAAAAAACAUGCCAGAUGAAGAGAAACAGAAAAGAAGAGAAGAGAGCACUAGACUGAAGGAGGAGGGCAAUGAGCAAUUUAAGAAAGGAGAUUACGUAGAAGCUGAACGUUCUUACAGCCAAGCCCUUCAAAUGUGCCCAUCCUGCUUCCAGAAAGACAGGUCAAUUCUGUUUUCAAAUAGAGCUGCUGCAAGGAUGAAACAGGACAAG